RNAcentral lists this small nuclear RNA (153 nucleotides) under Staphylococcus aureus. Its description in RNAcentral is "SaV10". Lineage: Bacteria; Bacillati; Bacillota; Bacilli; Caryophanales; Staphylococcaceae. The record is from RNAcentral.
GUUUCUUUUCGGCAUGAACUGGUUUUUCCGUUGUAGUGUUUACACCUGUUGCUAAUAUUCCUAAUAACAAACUUAUUUUUGCAAUAUUUUUCAUUUUCAUAGUUGUAUGCUCCAAUAUAUUAUAAUUAGAUUGUUUUAUUACGUAAUUUGAAC